This is a long non-coding RNA of Chelonia mydas (Green sea turtle), 567 nucleotides long. RefSeq lists it as uncharacterized. The transcript is spliced from 2 exons. Lineage: Eukaryota; Metazoa; Chordata; Testudines; Cheloniidae. The record is from RefSeq and is a predicted model, not a curated record.
UCUCACCCUGGAGUGGGAAGGGCUAGCGGCCUAGGAGCAGGGUACCUAAAGCAGAGCAGUGUUGGGGAAAAGGGCAAGAGGAGCUCCAGCCUGGCAACUCCCCAAGUUGAGGGCUUGGUUAAGGCCUAAAGAGCAGUAAGUGGACAAUUCUCUGGCCAAGAAAUCCACUUGCUCCUGUCACCAGACAGCUCACCCCAGCCAAAGACAUGGCACCUGAUUGCUCCCUAGCUGCAAACCAGCCAACUCCAGACCCAGGAAAAGCAGCUCCUCUUCCUGACUGAGAAGAAAAAGACACAGCAUCAACUUCAAGAAGCCCAGUGACAACACCAGAAAGCGAUUCCAGUGGAAAAAACAACCCAGUUUCAGACACCAACCCUAACUCAACAACUUCAUUAACCUGUUGAUUAACUUCACUGAUGCAUUAAUAUUCAGAAGCUGCCUGUACAUUUUUUAUGGCAAAUCACUAACACUUACUGAUUAGAUAUUAUAUAUAAGAGGAGGAAAUUCACAAAUCUGAAGAGGUUAACUGUUAAAAACGAAUGUACAUAAUAAAUAAACCUCACAGUC